Molecule: ribosomal RNA, 720 nt
Filed under: Nonomuraea sp. 10-100
Lineage: Bacteria; Bacillati; Actinomycetota; Actinomycetes; Streptosporangiales; Streptosporangiaceae
Description: bacterial SSU rRNA
Rfam family: Bacterial small subunit ribosomal RNA
Source: RNAcentral
GGAAGGCCCUUCGGGGUACUCGAGCGGCGAACGGGUGAGUAACACGUGAGUAACCUGCCCCUGACUCUGGGAUAAGCCCGGGAAACUGGGUCUAAUACCGGAUACGACCACUUCAGGCAUCUGAUGGUGGUGGAAAGAUUUCUCGGUUGGGGAUGGGCUCGCGGCCUAUCAGCUUGUUGGUGGGGUAGUGGCCUACCAAGGCGACGACGGGUAGCCGGCCUGAGAGGGCGACCGGCCACACUGGGACUGAGACACGGCCCAGACUCCUACGGGAGGCAGCAGUGGGGAAUAUUGCGCAAUGGGCGGAAGCCUGACGCAGCGACGCCGCGUGGGGGAUGACGGCCUUCGGGUUGUAAACCUCUUUCAGCAGGGACGAAGUUGACGUGUACCUGCAGAAGAAGCGCCGGCUAACUACGUGCCAGCAGCCGCGGUAAUACGUAGGGCGCAAGCGUUGUCCGGAAUUAUUGGGCGUAAAGAGCUCGUAGGUGGCUGGUCGCGUCUGCCGUGAAAGCCCGCAGCUUAACUGCGGGUCUGCGGUGGAUACGGGCCGGCUAGAGGUAGGCAGGGGCAAGUGGAAUUCCUGGUGUAGCGGUGAAAUGCGCAGAUAUCAGGAGGAACACCGGUGGCGAAGGCGGCUUGCUGGGCCUUACCUGACGCUGAGGAGCGAAAGCGUGGGGAGCGAACAGGAUUAGAUACCCUGGUAGUCCACGCCGUAAACGU